CGUACACUCCUGCGGGAGGCAGCAGUGGGGAAUAUUGGACAAUGGGCGCAAGCCUGAUCCAGCCAUGCCGCGUGAGUGAUGAAGGCCCUAGGGUUGUAAAGCUCUUUCACCGGUGAAGAUAAUGACGGUAACCGGAGAAGAAGCCCCGGCUAACUUCGUGCCAGCAGCCGCGGUAAUACGAAGGGGGCUAGCGUUGUUCGGAUUUACUGGGCGUAAAGCGCACGUAGGCGGACUAUUAAGUCAGGGGUGAAAUCCCGGGGCUCAACCCCGGAACUGCCUUUGAUACUGGUAGUCUUGAGUUCGAGAGAGGUGAGUGGAAUUCCGAGUGUAGAGGUGAAAUUCGUAGAUAUUCGGAGGAACACCAGUGGCGAAGGCGGCUCACUGGCUCGAUACUGACGCUGAGGUGCGAAAGCGUGGGGAGCAAACGGGAUUAGAAACCCUUGUAGUCCCAUGA
RNAcentral lists this ribosomal RNA (454 nucleotides) under uncultured organism. RNAcentral's name for it is "partial 16S ribosomal RNA". It matches the Rfam family "Bacterial small subunit ribosomal RNA", at positions 330 to 800 of the family's 1533-position model. The record is from RNAcentral.